This 634-nucleotide long non-coding RNA is filed under the name Homo sapiens (human). RNAcentral describes it as "long non-coding RNA NONHSAT251494". The record is from RNAcentral. Lineage: Eukaryota; Metazoa; Chordata; Mammalia; Primates; Hominidae.
AAUAAUUUCAAAAGACAUAAUUACAUGACCACAAAAUAAUCUGACAUAUAAACAGUUUGCAAACUGUUACAGUUACUUCUAUAUCUAUAGCUGUGUGCAGUGAAAAUUGUUGUUCAAUAUGAUGUGGAGGCAAUCCAACAUACUGAAUCACCUACAAAGGAUUAAGUUUUAUUUUAAAAAAGAAAACUGGCAGAUACAUAUAAGAAAAGUUUUUAAACAAGGUUAAAUAAUAACUUUACCAAAGUGUUCUGCCUAACAGGUUUAAUGGAAGUAUUCACUUUUGUACUAUUAGCAUCAGUUACUAUUUUAGCUGCUCCGAAUUUCUAUCACAAAUGAAUUUCAAGCAAGAUCUAGAUUUUCUUCAACAAAUUUAACAACUUCUUAAACAUUUUAAAGAGGAGUCUACCUUUAUAAAUAAAACAAUCAAAUGUAUUUUAAGUGCUUUGAAAUUAUAAAGCACAAUAAAUAUAUAAGCUAUUACUGUUGCUAGCCAGUCCCUAGCUACAGCAACAGUUUGACAUUCCUUUCCCCAUUGCUCACACUGCCGCCCACACUGGAGAUUUCAGUCUAAGAAUUACCUAUAUUCUUCCCCAAAAGGAGUCAAUAGAAGUACGUGAUGAGACCACAUAUUUGA